CGGGUGAGUAACACGUGGAUAACCUACCUAUAAGACUGGGAUAACUUCGGGAAACCGGAGCUAAUACCGGAUAAUAUUUUGAACCGCAUGGUUCAAAAGUGAAAGACGGUCUUGCUGUCACUUAUAGAUGGAUCCGCGCUGCAUUAGCUAGUUGGUAAGGUAACGACUUACCAAGGCAACGAUGCAUAGCCGACCUGAGAGGGUGAUCGGCCACACUGGAACUGAGACACGGUCCAG
This 237-nucleotide ribosomal RNA is filed under the name uncultured Staphylococcus sp. Its description in RNAcentral is "partial 16S ribosomal RNA". It matches the Rfam family "Bacterial small subunit ribosomal RNA", at positions 103 to 334 of the family's 1533-position model. Lineage: Bacteria; Bacillati; Bacillota; Bacilli; Caryophanales; Staphylococcaceae. The record is from RNAcentral.